CAGAAAUGUGGGGUGGGUCUUCCAUGUUACAAGUUCAUAUGUGUGUAUUCUGGAUUGUGGGGGUGCUUCCUCCCCCGCCCGCCCAGCAUUUAUGUGAAAUGAAAUGCAGGAAUUAGCUUCUAGCUGGCAUAUAUGUUGGAUCGAGAAAUGAUACAGGUGUGUUGAUUCUUGUAUUAAAUACAAAUGCCUGCGCGCGCGCACGCACACAACCAGCUGCAAUGCACAUCAAGCCUUCUGUGCGUGGCAUCAGCUUCUGCGGGCAACAGUUUUCAUUGCCGCUAAGUUCUGCGAGAGCUGUGCUGACGGGCAGGUUGGUCGGAGGCUCCUUUCUGCUGGGGAUCGGCUCUGGUCUGGACUGGCUUCGGGCAUUCCCUCACCUGGAAAGAAACAUCAGCACGACGGCCUCCCUUUUCUACGCCGGGAUCCUUUUUGUGGCACCGGAAGAGAUGGGGAGGAAAUUGGCGCCCCGUUCCCCUUGACGUCUGCUGCCUGAACUGCUGCAUGCUGCUUCCUGAGGGUGUGGAAAGAUCUAAAGAGUGAUUUCCAUUCAGCCCAUUGGCAUUGAUCUGCAUCUUAGUCACGGAGGUGGAUUGACAGAGCUGGACGCCCCUUUGAAAAUGGAGCCGGGCCAGGCUGAGACCCGAGGAAAACCAGGGCGUUUCCAACUCUACCCAUAAUGAAUGGAUUCAACUUUAGAAGGCCUGCCUUGGAAUUGAUUCUUGGGAGAUCCUCUUCCCAUCUAUUUAUACUCCAGAGCUAUAUACAAAAAGCAGCCAGUGAAUGUUAGCCCAUGUGCUAUCUCUUCGGAAACUGCAUGAAAUACACGUAGCUGGAGAACAGGUCAGCUCGCGGCUCGCCUUGGCUGUUUUCCUGGGAGAUGCCAAAGAGCCUAUUUCUUGACUAGACCAAGUGACGACAUUUUCAUGUUAAGCAUUUCGACACUUACCGCUUCCUGCCCCAGCUAGCUUCCGUGCGGCCGCCUGAAGUCAAACAGGAGUUUGGCACAUGUGCUUGAAGGUUAUUGUGUAAUGAUGUCUCACCGGCUUUCUGCUCAGCCAAGCGGAGGGUG
This is a long non-coding RNA of Hemicordylus capensis (graceful crag lizard), 1069 nucleotides long. RefSeq lists it as uncharacterized. The record is from RefSeq and is a predicted model, not a curated record. The transcript is spliced from 3 exons. NCBI's taxonomy places the organism in Eukaryota, Metazoa, Chordata, Lepidosauria, Squamata, Cordylidae.